UUCCAGCGUGUCAAUGUUCUCAGCUAUUGAAGUACUGUUCAUGAUAUGUAUAUCAUUCAUCGCAUGCUAUGCAAUGAUUCAUACAUACAUUUUCAUUGGCUUAUUGGCUUAUCAGCUUAUGCCAUCCAUUACAUGCCAUCUUUCAAUUCAUUCAUACAUUUAUUGGCUUUACCUUUCACAGUUGAGUUCCGCUGAGAUUGAGCGUGAAAUUUCAAAUUUUGAAUUCAAAAUCAAAAUUGAAAAGGGAUUUACGUUAUUUUUCUCUCAUUCUUCUUCUUCUUCUAUUCCUCCUCUUCUAUUUUUCUUCUUCUUCGAUCUCUUUAUCAUCGGAUAGCUUUUCUGUCAUUUGGUGAUGCCGUGCCAAGAGCAUGGUGGUCACCGAUGUGGUGGUGGUGGAUACAGAGGAGGAAGCGGUGAAAGAGAGUAGAUCGAUGGAAAGAACCGAGCGGCUGCGACAAAAAGCACAUGCAGCGAGACUAGACAAGCGGAGAGCACAGCAGCGGCAGCGACAAGAACAGAGUGGUGAGAUCUAUUUAUUUCCUGUCACGGUGAAAGGGACAACAGCAGUGGUGGUAGGGUUUCGGCAGUAGAAGAGGUUGCGGCAACAGCUAUGGUGAUCAAGGAGUCUAAGGCAGCGGUGGGCCCAGUGGUCGCAGUGGAGUUCGUGGUGAUAGUUGACAUGGUGAUCGUGGAUAAGGUGGAGGAUGUGAUGAUGGUUGUGCAUGCUACAGCCAUGGUGGGCUGGGUCAAGGAUUGCAACCAGGGAGGAGGCGGAUGCCAAGGUAGGUACGACAGAGUUUGUAUCUGCGGAAGCUGCUACAACUAUGGAAAUUUUCUGGGCAUUUUGCAACAAACUGCCCAACAAGCCCUCUGAGAAAAUAAAGCAAGCAGUAGCACCAGAUCACUCUCAAGAGGCAUGCUCCCACCUCGGUUGGCGUCUUUAUCUGGUGUGAAGUCGUUGAUGCAGAAAAUCUAGAACCACACUAUUGUUGGCAGGAUUAUAAUUGUUCUUCGCCAAAAGAAUUGGUUUGGGGUGCAGGGUGUGGAAGCAACAUAAAUCCAAUGACAUGUUGAUUUCAAAGCAUCAACAUGAUAAAGAACUUGGAAAUGAACAGAUGAGGUAAAAGGUGAUUUUCUGAGCUAGCCUGGGUUCAAAUCCAACGCUUAUGAGAUAGUAUUUAAUUUCUUGCUCCCAUCUUUUACUUUUGUUUCAUCAUCUGUGUUAGCAAAAGUAGCAGUAAGAAUAUGAGAGUGGAAUUUUUUUUUUGAAAAUUCAUAUAAUUAUCUGCAAAAUUUAUUGAUGAGUUGGUGAUAUCUCUGCCAUAAGUAUCACCAAUAUAAUGCUGGCUUAGCUACUUAAUUAAUUAUUUAUCGAUUAUUUGAUAAGUAGUUGGAUAGAAGAUACAAGCACUACUUCAAUCAGAUGCAGGGAAUGGUAGUGUCAUUUGAGGUCGUGAGUGGGGAGGGGCUGCCACUCUGCAAUGGUUAGAGCGCUACUAACUUGGUACUUGAAUGUUCCCACACUAGCUAUUGCUGAAUAGUGAAUAUGAAUAUUAUUAUUUUCUGGUAUUUAUAAUUUCACUAUAUUAUUCUAUAUGAUUUUUAGUUGAAUUUGAGAAUAGUACCAUUAGUGGAAUUAAUGCUAUGAUUGAUAAAUUCACUUGACCGAUAGAGUAUUUUGGUAUUUUUCACCUUGCACACUAUAACAGGAGACAAAUUUAGAUUCUUAAAGAUGUUAGUGGAAUAAUAAAACCAUCAAGGUAAAAUGAUUCUCAUUUAUAUUCAGUUUUAUUUAAUGUGUACAACGAGGGCAAUUUAACAUUUACUUUAUGAAACUUUUUUUUGAAACAAAAAUAUUUGAAUACCGAUACAUUUUUUUUUUCUGGUGUGAAAUCUCAAGAUGACAUUCCGGGUCCUCUGGGUGCUGAGAAAACUACAUUGAUGUUUGAAUACCGAUACAUUUCUUUAAUUUUAGUCUUAGGCUUUUAGCCUUUUGAUGUUUGAUUUAUAUAACUCAAUUGCAUAAGGUAUCAUUUGUAAUAUAUUAAUUAAUACUUUCUCUUAUAUGGAUGACGGUAGUAGAUAUUUUUUAUGUUAGUUUUGUUUGUAUUUAACUUGCUAUAAGCACAAGUUCAUAUUCAGACCAAUAAUCUUAUUUCAUGAAAUUAUCUUUCUCUUUCCCACGGAUUAAUUCUUUGAUGUAUAUAGUAGAUUUUUCUGUUAUUCUUGAAUUUUCUAUAUUAUUUGUUUUAUCUAUUCUAAUCUGCUUUAGUAUAGCAUAUCAUUUUUUUUUUAUCUAUUCUCACUAUCUUAUAUAUUUGCUACAUGUCUUUGUUGCUACAAACAUUAGUUGAAUACAUAUGAUUCGGGCAUUAAUCAUUUUAUUUUCUAAAUUUGAUCUGUUUUGUUUCGUUCUGUUUUACCUUUUCUAAAUUUCUUGCAAUUUGAAUGCUACUUCAUAUCAUUGUUGGUUCUAUAUACUAGCAUAUGAGGCAGAUAUCAGAGCCUAUAACAAAGGAUUGAUAAUUGCUUUAACUCAAUAUUGUGAUUCAUGCUAAUCUUAUGGUUGAACUCUUUUGAUGUAUUAGAAUAGGAUGGAGAUUCUAACAAGUCGACAUUUGAAGUGAAUGACGAUAGUGAUGAUGGAGCUUUGUAAUUUAUUUUCAAUUCUAAAAUAGUUUCUGACAUUAGUUGUUAUUGUUUGUUAAUGAGUUUGAUUUGUUGUUAUUCUGUAGGAGGAUGAGUGAAAUAGUUGGUGUGGUGAAAGAAGAGGUCUUGGAGUGGGUGGAAAUAAUUUCACUCAUCAUCAUUUUUCACAUGAUUUAUAGCUUAGAAUAUGGUUUUCAUUUAUUUUUGCGCUCAGGCCUUGAUUGUUUGUAAAGAAUAGUAGUUUCUUACUUUUCGGAUUUGUUAUUAUGUUUUCAAUUUAUCGUCAUCAUCAUGAUGUACCUAUCCAUUCUGCGAUUCAUAUUAAUCAAAUGUAGCUUACCAUUGUUUAUUUUCAUUUUUCGAUAUUAUGAGA
Molecule: long non-coding RNA, 3022 nt
Organism: Arachis stenosperma
Lineage: Eukaryota; Viridiplantae; Streptophyta; Magnoliopsida; Fabales; Fabaceae
Exons: 5
Source: RefSeq, a predicted model, not a curated record